RNAcentral lists this long non-coding RNA (670 nucleotides) under Mytilus galloprovincialis (Mediterranean mussel). Lineage: Eukaryota; Metazoa; Mollusca; Bivalvia; Mytilida; Mytilidae. The record is from RNAcentral.
CGUCUUACUUCUGAGAAGAUCAAGUUAUUUUAUUUAUUUUCGAAGAAACAAAUAUCGUUCGAAUAAACAGGAAAAUAAAAAAUUCACAGUACUUUAAUUAAACUUGAACAACGUAUUUAUAUUUAGCUGUUUUUUGAUGUAUUUCAAUCUCAAAUUUCAAUGUCCAAUAACUAUCUGCAAUAAUUAUUUGGGUAAACACUAACGAAGGGUGUUAAUAGAAAUAUAUAUAUGUGGUAUGAUGACUAGUGCGAAUGAGACAUCUAUCCAUCCAAGUUAUAAUGUGUAAAUUUGUUCUAAAAAGUAAACAAUUAUAGGUCAACGAAUGGCUUUCAACACGGAAUUUUGACUCACACCCAAAAUCAAUCUGUAACGGGCACCACAAUGGCCAGUAUAAAACAAUCAAACAGUAAAACCAAUGGUAUAUUCCAUAUAAAAAAACGAGCAAAGAGAAACACUUAUGAACCACAUCAAUAAACAACACCCACUGAAAAAAGGUCGGUUUAGACGUUUAAACAGGAUCUAACAUUCACCAUAAACUGACACAGUUGACUGUAGUGAAACAUAGAAAGACGCACUGAAAAAUACUAAUUACUAUUAAGACGGUUAUCCGCGAUAAAAAAAAUGUCCCCCUUGUAUCUUAUAUUAACAAAAAAAACAUACACUUUACGAG